RNAcentral lists this ribosomal RNA (467 nucleotides) under uncultured bacterium. Its description in RNAcentral is "partial 16S ribosomal RNA". It matches the Rfam family "Bacterial small subunit ribosomal RNA", at positions 28 to 507 of the family's 1533-position model. The record is from RNAcentral.
GAUGAACGCUGGCGGCGCGCCUAACACAUGCAAGUCGAACGAUUAAAGUACCUUCGGGUGUGUAUAAAGUGGCGAACGGCCGAGUAACACGUGGGCAACCUGCCCCUUUCAUUGGGAUAGCCACGGGAAACCGUGGAUAAUACCGAAUACUUCGAGACUUCCGCAUGGAAGACUCGAGAAAGCUCCGGCGGAGAGGGAUGGGCCCGCGGCCUGUUAGCUUGUUGGUGGGGUAACGGCCUACCAAGGCAAUGAUGGGUAGCUGGGUUGAGAGACCGACCAGCCAGAUUGGGACUGAGACACGGCCCAGACUCCUACGGGAGGCAGCAGUGGGGAAUCUUGCACAAUGGGCGAAAGCCUGAUGCAGCGACGCCGCGUGCGGGAUGAAGGCCUUCGGGUUGUAAACCGCUUUCAGCAGGGACGAGGCGAAAGUGACGGUACCUGCAGAAGAAGCCCCGGCUAACUACGUG